CCUACGAGUGGCUGCAGUGAGGAAUAUUGGUCAAUGGACGAGAGUCUGAACCAGCCAAGUAGCGUGAAGGAUGACUGCCCUACGGGUUGUAAACUUCUUUUAUAAAGGAAUAAAACGAGGCACGUGUGCCUUUUUGCAUGUACUUUAUGAAUAAGGAUCGGCUAACUCCGUGCCAGCAGCCGCGGUAAUACGGAGGAUGCGAGCGUUAUCCGGAUUUAUUGGGUUUAAAGGGAGCGUGGAUGGGUGGUUAAGUCAGUUGUGAAAGUUUGCGGCUCAACCGUAACAUUGAAGUUGAUACUGGCAGUCUUGAGUACAGUAGAGGUACGCGGAAUGCGUGGUGUAGCGGUGAAAUGCUUAGAUAUCACGAAGAACCCCGAUUGCGAAGGCAGCUUACUAGAGUGUGACUGACGUUGAUGCUCGAAAGUGUGGGUAUCAAACAGGAUUAGAUACCCUAGUAGUC
RNAcentral lists this ribosomal RNA (460 nucleotides) under uncultured bacterium. RNAcentral's name for it is "partial 16S ribosomal RNA". It matches the Rfam family "Bacterial small subunit ribosomal RNA", at positions 338 to 795 of the family's 1533-position model. The record is from RNAcentral.